RNAcentral lists this ribosomal RNA (325 nucleotides) under uncultured eukaryote. Its description in RNAcentral is "partial 18S ribosomal RNA". It matches the Rfam family "Eukaryotic small subunit ribosomal RNA", at positions 1470 to 1796 of the family's 1831-position model. The record is from RNAcentral.
CCCUUAGAUGUUCUGGGCUGCACGCGCGCUACACUGAUGCGCUCAACGAGUUUUAACCUUGCCUGGAAAGGUUGGGUAAUCUUUUUAAAACGCAUCGUGAUGGGGAUAGAUUAUUGCAAUUAUUAAUCUUCAACGAGGAAUUCCUAGUAAGCGCGAGUCAUCAGCUCGUGCUGAUUACGUCCCUGCCCUUUGUACACACCGCCCGUCGCCCCUACCGAUUGAGUGAUCCGGUGAAUAAUUCGGACUGCGGCAUUGACCGGUUCCCGAUCGUUGCUGCGGAAAGUUUAGUGAACCUUAUCACUUAGAGGAAGGAGAAGUCGUAACA